CAAUAUGGACACUUACCACGCUGCGUUUUGGUCCGAUCCCUGCUACACCUCCUCUUCAGACGAAGAGGAUGAAAUCUGUCGUUACAAUACCCUUGCCUAAAUGAGAGUGCCACAGUGUCAUGAUCUAUGUUAUAGAAUGUGUUUAGGUCUCGUUACUGCAAGGCAAUAUACAUGUAAUUGAUCUUCGAGUUUAACUUUCCAUGCUAGGAAAGCAUAAUUUGGAGAUUAGUAAUUUUAUGUUUUUUGCGUUUUGGUGACUGGUUGAAAUGACCGUCUACAUCAAAUCCAGGUGGAACAUGUGUCACUAAAUUCAGGCAUAUUCUUGAUUUAAUAUCCAACAGCAAUAUUAAGUUAGGGGCCUACUCAGCCCAAUCAAAUAUUCAUUAAUAAAACAUGAAACCUUCACUCACCUACCUAUCCUCUGAGCGCAGUAACGCCCCUUUACGCAAGUGCAAUAGGCCUACAACUAAACCGCGUUGAGCUUGCUGUGUUGUUUAUUGUCGACAUAUCGGCAUAUGUGGGCUGCGCAGAAGGCGAGAGGCGACAGCGUGUCUCUCACCGGUGUCUCCUUUCAGUGACACUUCCUCACUAGGAGGUUCGUCAUUUAUAGUCGAAGCUUGGAGCACCUCAGGGUGUGUAAUGUCACAUAGGAGUUUGGAUUAUUUUAAAAAUAUUUUUCCAGACAGAAAAAACAAGCACAUCGUCUCAUUGUCCCCCGCCUAACUUUGGACGCUCAGUAGCGGGCUCUCUCUGGUCAGUGUCGCUUGCACUCGGAGGCUGGCUGUUUGUUUUGGAUAUGGGUGAAAUCUGCUCAAGGUGCGGGCAAUGACACAUAUAACAGGAUGAUGGACAAGGACGCUUUAAAAGGAAUCUUCUCUCUGUCAUUUGUAUGGUGUUUUCUGGUUUCAGUUUCUGGAGAGGUCAUCUCUCAAGAUGGCUACCUAAAUACUAUGCAGAGUGCAGGUAGACACCUCUUUUCCUCUUCCUCUAAUAGGUCUUGAUUUCAUCCAUCCAUCAUUGUGAUUCUGCCAAGUCAUCCAAGGACAUGGAUGAAUGACUCAGCAGCACUAAUUGAAUAGCCUAAAUCAGGGAUGGGCAACUCCAGUCCACGGGGGCCAGACUGCUGUCACACUUUUGUUCCAGCUAACAUAGCGGACUCCAAUAAUCAACUAAUCAUGAUCUUCAGUUUAGAAUGCAAUUCAUUUAAUCAGCUGUGUUUGCUAGGGAUGGAGAAAGUGUGACACCAGUCCGGCCACAGAAGACUGGG
This 1267-nucleotide long non-coding RNA is filed under the name Oncorhynchus mykiss (rainbow trout). RNAcentral describes it as "lncRNA (ENSOMYG00000047859.1)". Lineage: Eukaryota; Metazoa; Chordata; Actinopteri; Salmoniformes; Salmonidae. The record is from RNAcentral.